This 4133-nucleotide long non-coding RNA is filed under the name Canis lupus familiaris (dog). RNAcentral's name for it is "lncRNA (ENSCAFG00845015087.1)". Lineage: Eukaryota; Metazoa; Chordata; Mammalia; Carnivora; Canidae. The record is from RNAcentral.
UUUUUUUUUUUUUUCUUUAAAAAAGAGGCAAUAUCAGAUAAGCGGAAGUUACGGGCACAAACAGUACUGUGUACUUAAAUAAAAUCAACAAACUGUAUUUAACUUUUCCCCCCUUUCAAAAUGCAAGAGUCUAAAGCAAAUAUAAACCCAAAAUAGUCAAUAUUAAAUCAGUCAACAGAUCGAUGUGAUUUGGAGGUUUCAGAGUUCAGUAACACAAACACGCAAAAUACUUUGAUGUUCUUAGGAUCAAAACAAAAAUGUAAGUUAUAGUUGUCAUGUAAAGAGGACUGUAAAAUCUGGUAAGCAGGUUAUGGUCAGGCUACGCUUCAACUUCUUUUGGUUUAAAGUCAACUGCAGGUUUUAGAAUUUGAAGUCGCGAGCCCCAAUAUUACAAAAUCUGAAAUCAGUUUGUAACGUGACGUUGCUUGACAUGAGGAUUUUUGAUGCAAAAGGAGGCCCAGGUGAAACAGACGUAGUUAAUCAUUAAAUUAAAAAAGAAAGGGAUUCUGAUUUAGAUCUAAUAGAAAUGUUAUUCUGGCAGAAGCACAUUGCUUCUAUGUGAUUCCAGAAAGCAGACCUCAUGGGGCAUUACCCAUUCCCUUGCAAAGAGGAGACACCUUUUUCAACCUCAGCCCUCUUUUGCUCUCUAGCAUUAACAUCAGACAGUCCUUCCGAGGCCCACAUUUUUCAUGCAUUCCAAAGUUAUCUAUAAAAUACCAGUACUUACAGAAUGUCCUGAACAGUAUGUGGCACAGAGUAGAUAAUAAAUAUUGCCAAACGGGUAACUGGUUGCACUAAACACUAUGGGGAACGUGAAGCUGAAUUGUGCUACAGGCCCUGCUUUCUAGAAAGUCGGGCAAGGAAGGUAAGCUCCGUUCAUGAACAGAGAAUGCAAAGGAAAAAGGGAGUAAAUCCCACGGCAGAUGAACAGGAAAAGAUGCUUUCACUGCAGGGAGGGAGGGAAGGAUGCUUCUAGCUGGGAAGAGAAAGGAAAUACCUCACUGACACAUUCACCUUGGUCUGGAAGAAAAGGAAUAGUUUGGGGAUAUGGAAAUGGGAUCGCAUCUUUGUUGCAUCAGGGUUGCAUCCCCAGAGCCGAGCACAAGGGCUAGUGCAUAGUUAAGUACUCACUAAAUAUAAGUGGAAGGAAUCAAAGGGACACAAGCCCAGUUCCCAUAAAACAAGGCCCAGGGAAGAAGGAUGGCCAAAGGCAGACCAAGCGAAAGGGUUGUGUUGGGUUGUUGGGUUGGGUCCCAAGGAAUGUGAAAAGGGGUCGAAGAAGGUAAAUCUGCAAAUAUAGCUGGGACAGAGGGUGAAGAAUCUCAAAUGAAAGGCUCAGGUAUCUUUAUCUAAGGACAGGGACAACAGGACAUGUUUCAUGAUGCGCCCAGAUGUAGUAGAUACAGUAGUCAUAACCCACGCCAGCCACAAGGAAAGGAACAGACUCUACAAUUCAUCCAAUGGACAUGCUGACCAACAUAACUGUUUUCCUCUCUCUUCUCUUGAAGGAGAAUAUGGCUGGGACAAGUCACCAUUCACUAUUUGGAUUUCAGGUAAGCUGAAAUUUACUGAACGUGGACUCUAGUUUUAUGAGAUUUCUGUUGCUGUUUUUAUAAUAUGGACUCCACCCCUAAAACAGGUAAACAGUCUGUUUUUCUAUAUACAAGUAAAGACUUUCCAUGGAGACACCAAUGUUCAAACACAAAAGGACCCCAGGCUUAUUUAUCCCUUUGAUUGCCAGAGAAACAGGACUUACUUCGCGUGGCUCCUACGAGUGAAAGGAAAACCCAUCCCUUCAAAAACCCGGGAGACCGUUCUCCAGAUCUCUUGUUUACUUUCAAGUUUCUCCUGAACUCACACUGCAAUCUAUCAGAAUGUUCCUACAAGAAUAUCUAGACACCGCUUAGCACGGCUUCACAGCUCUGGUCCUAAAAUGAAGUGGGAAGGCCACACUUUUAUUAAAACACUUGCAACAAACAAACGAACUGCUUGCUCAUUUAUAGGAAAUGGGGGAGGGAGUGGGGGGAGCAAAGGGCACACGGUCUGCUUUUCAUUUUACACCUGGCUCACAUCCAGAACAGGCUGAAUGAAGAGCUCUGCCCAGGAAUAAACUGCAUCCAGUUUUGUUGUCACAUGUGCCAACCUGCACGGAUGCAGUGGGGGGCAGAGAUUGGGGGCCUCCCUGAGGAGGGAAAACACUCUGGCUUCGCCAGAUGCUGAAGUCUAUUGCUUUGGGCCACGCUGAACCCCUCCCUGUAAUUUCCCACAAGUAUGUAUGUUCAAAGAGCAGGAAAUAAAAGGAUCCAUCAAUUGCACCAUAAACUUGCCCUCUAAAGUCUCAGCACUCUACAUUUCAAAGUCCUUUAUCAUAAACCCUGAUCAGCACAUGUCUCAGGCACUAAUGCUUACCUACUGGUGCCAUCACCUUGGGGAUCUCUGAAAAAGUGAAAACAAGGAAUGAGGGAGGUUAUGCUGACGGGGAGGGGCUGGGUACAGACCCGAUAAACAGGCCGCAGAGGCCCGGAAAACCUUCAAGGGAAAGUCUGAAGUUCACAUCUGUUUAUCUUUGUUCAAGGGUGUGAGAGUGUGUGUGUGUGUGUGUGUGUGUGUGUGUUUGUACGUGUGUCUGUGUUUCUGUGUGUACGUACAGAAAAUUUAGCUCCUGAGCCAAUGGUACAGAUAUUUAACAGCCAUCCCUGAGUGAGACUGGUCCUUCACUGCAGCCACUUUGAGGUCUGCACAGCUAUGCCAAUCAUGCAGCCAUUGUUGGAAGCAUUUCUGGAAUGCUUCCUCAAGUUCUCAUUUCUUUCUGGCGAUGGCCUUCUCAGCCUUGGGCAUAUUCUUUGGAAUGGUCUCUAGAGCAGCCAGUCUCAGCCCUCUGAGGGCACCUUUGAUCCUUGGGGAUGGCCAAAAAGCCUUGAGAGCCAAAUAUGGUGAAAGAAGGGGCUGAUCAAGCCAGGUAACGGUUCCCCAGUGAGGCCUUAUGGAAAGCCAAAGACCCCAAAACUAAAGUUCCCAAAACACAGCUGUUCACAAUUGCCCUGCUGAGUUUUGAUGGAAAUGAACCCUGAGGACAUUAUAGACAGACCUCAGUGGAUGUUCAUGGGACUAAAGUUCAUUUGCCUUGAUCCCAGCCUCUCCAGAACUGCAGUCAAGAAGGGUGAUCUUCACCAAAGCAACUCACUUGAAGAAAGGCCAACAUGUAUAUCAGACAUUUUGAGAGCAUGUUUUUAAAAAACCAAUACCCGUACUGGGCUCCCACAGUCAGUCAAUUCAAGAAAUAUCUGUGACAAAUGAGAAGGCAGUGAUAAGGACUGUAACAAGCACUACAAGGGAAGACACCGGUAUAGGUAUGUUCGAUGCUCUUUAUAUAUACAACCCGGACUGACUCACACCAACCAUAGGAGGCAAAUAUUUCAACGAUGUUUUACAAAUACAAAUACAAAAACUCAUUUGUAACACCCAUGAAGUGGAAACAAAAGAAGCAAAAUAUUUCCUCGGAUUAGAGCUGGGCAAAUAUCAAAUGGUGAUGUUCCUAGGAUACAUCCUCUCUGGUUACCUCACUGGGGAGUAACUCCUGGACCCAGAAAGACGCUGCACCUGUCACGAGAUUUAGCAGCAGGAAAUUACUUUUUGACAAAAUUUCAUCACCACACCAGCAUCUCUUGUCCCCUUCCGUGUGUCUUUGUGUAAGAUAAAACCCACCUAAUCCUAUUGCCAGUAAUGAAAAAUGUAAUUUUUAAAGCAUUAUCAAAUAAGUCAACACUUGGGCGAUGCUACUUGAGACCUAUGGAUUACUGCAUUAUUGCAUCCAAUAGGAAUUUACAUCUUCUGGCCUCGACCCACUUAAACUAUGCCUACGGAGAGCUGAAAAACAGAGAAAGCUUCUGCUCCCUUUCACACUCAGCCUAUUGACCAGGCUGCGCUAUAAAGCAGCUGAGAACAGCAUAAGGUUAUGAUAUGUGUACAAUGAAGGAUCCAUAUCCUUUCAACAAUGAAGUUUUGGCCCAACCCAUCGACUAACAUAUUUAUCUUGUAUUCAAAUGGCUCGAAACCUGCCAAUUUGUUGAGUCAAGUGCAACACAGUUAUAAAUACCUAGUCAAACCAUUACCAGCAGUUUCUACUUCUACUA